GGAGAGGUGGCAGAGCGGUUGAAUGCGGCGGUCUUGAAAACCGCUUUACCCGUAAGGGUAACGGGGGUUCGAAUCCCUCCCUCUCCG
RNAcentral lists this transfer RNA (87 nucleotides) under Flavobacteriales bacterium. Its description in RNAcentral is "tRNA-Ser". It matches the Rfam family "tRNA". From Rfam's summary of the family: Transfer RNA (tRNA) molecules are approximately 80 nucleotides in length. Their secondary structure includes four short double-helical elements and three loops (D, anti-codon, and T loops). The record is from RNAcentral. Lineage: Bacteria; Pseudomonadati; Bacteroidota; Flavobacteriia; Flavobacteriales.